Long non-coding RNA from Suricata suricatta (meerkat), 531 nucleotides. RefSeq lists it as uncharacterized. The transcript is spliced from 4 exons. The record is from RefSeq and is a predicted model, not a curated record. Lineage: Eukaryota; Metazoa; Chordata; Mammalia; Carnivora; Herpestidae.
CUGGGAUUUAGGAUGAUACACCCAUCCUAAACUGAAAAUAUUAAUAAAGAAUCUCUUUGUGGAAGAAAACACAAACCUUGUUGAAGCAUUUGGUUAUUGGUAGAAAAACCUUAUGAUUUCUCUAAAAACAACAUUUGGGAGAGGCUAUUUUUAACCAAGUAGCAGCUAGCUCAGUGUGGAUGGACCUCAGUAAUGGCCAGAUCUCUAGAGUAUCGGUGGAAGAGAUACAGAAUCACAAAAUUCGAUUUUUAAUGAGGAGCAAACAUCGUUUUGGAGUGGCGCAGCUGAGAGGCAGAGGACUAGCGGAAGAUGUUGUUUUUGGCAGAAAUGGUGGCAGGAUCAGGCGGAACAGCUGGCAAGAGUGCACUCACGGUGGGGGAAAAAAAUUAAAAAAGAGUAUCUCCUGCCUGCAAUACUCACAAUUUUGCUUGUGAGCUUCAGUCAACAGCUCUGAUUGCAAAUUUGUACGUCUGGUAACUUACUGAAUGUGGAAUCAUCACUCCUAAGAAUCUAAAAAAAUUCCUGUUGCAA